GAUGAACGCUGGCGGCGUGCCUAAUACAUGCAAGUCGAGCGAACAGACGAGGAGCUUGCUCCUCUGACGUUAGCGGCGGACGGGUGAGUAACACGUGGAUAACCUACCUAUAAGACUGGGAUAACUUCGGGAAACCGGAGCUAAUACCGGAUAAUAUAUUGAACCGCAUGGUUCAUUAGUGAAAGACGGUUUUGCUGUCACUUAUAGAUGGAUCCGCGCCGCAUUAGCUAGUUGGUAAGGUAACGGCUUACCAAGGCAACGAUGCGUAGCCGACCUGAGAGGGUGAUCGGCCACACUGGAACUGAGCCACGGUCCAGACUCCUACGGGAGGCAGCAGUAGGGAAUCUUCCGCAAUGGGCGAAAGCUUGACGGAGCAACGCCGCGUGAGUGAUGAAGGUCUUCGGAUCGUAAAACUCUGUUAUUAGGGAAGAACAAAUGUGUAAGUAACUAUGCACGUCUUGACGGUACCUAAUCAGAAAGCCACGGCUAACUACGUG
RNAcentral lists this ribosomal RNA (497 nucleotides) under uncultured bacterium. RNAcentral's name for it is "partial 16S ribosomal RNA". It matches the Rfam family "Bacterial small subunit ribosomal RNA", at positions 28 to 507 of the family's 1533-position model. The record is from RNAcentral.